This 305-nucleotide ribosomal RNA is filed under the name uncultured bacterium. RNAcentral describes it as "bacterial SSU rRNA". It matches the Rfam family "Bacterial small subunit ribosomal RNA", at positions 334 to 656 of the family's 1533-position model. The record is from RNAcentral.
AUGGCCUAGGGACGCAGCAGUCGGGAAUAUUGCGCAAUGGAGGAAACUCUGACGCAGUGACGCCGCGUAUAGGAAGAAGGUUUUCGGAUUGUAAACUAUUGUCGUUAGGGAAGAUAAAAGACUGUACCUAAGGAGGAAGCCCCGGCUAACUAUGUGCCAGCAGCCGCGGUAAUACAUAGGGGGCAAGCGUUAUCCGGAAUUAUUGGGUGUAAAGGGUGCGUAGACGGAAGAACAAGUUGGUUGUGAAAUCCAUCGGCUCAACUGAGGAACUGCAACCAAAACUAUUCUCAUUGAGUGUCGGAGAG